GGGGAAUUUUGGACAAUGGGGGCAACCCUGAUCCAGCCAUGCCGCGUGAGUGAAGAAGGCCUUCGGGUUGUAAAGCUCUUUCGGCCGGGAAGAAAUCGUGCAGGCUAAUACCCUGUAUGGAUGACGGUACCGGAAUAAGAAGCACCGGCUAACUACGUGCCAGCAGCCGCGGUAAUACGAAGGGUGCAAGCGUUACUCGGAAUUACUGGGCGUAAAGCGUGCGUAGGUGGUUGUGUAAGACAGGUGUGAAAUCCCCGGGCUUAACCUGGGAACUGCGCUUGUGACUGCACGGCUAGAGUACGGCAGAGGGGGGUGGAAUUCCUGGUGUAGCAGUGAAAUGCGUAGAGAUGUGGAGGAACACCGAUGGCGAAGGCAGCCCCCUGGGCCUGUACUGACGCUCAUGCACGAAAGCGUGGGGAGCAAACA
RNAcentral lists this ribosomal RNA (426 nucleotides) under uncultured Rhodocyclaceae bacterium. RNAcentral describes it as "bacterial SSU rRNA". It matches the Rfam family "Bacterial small subunit ribosomal RNA", at positions 356 to 774 of the family's 1533-position model. Lineage: Bacteria; Pseudomonadati; Pseudomonadota; Betaproteobacteria; Rhodocyclales; Rhodocyclaceae. The record is from RNAcentral.